RNAcentral lists this ribosomal RNA (164 nucleotides) under uncultured Alphaproteobacteria bacterium. RNAcentral describes it as "partial 16S ribosomal RNA". It matches the Rfam family "Bacterial small subunit ribosomal RNA", at positions 343 to 524 of the family's 1533-position model. Lineage: Bacteria; Pseudomonadati; Pseudomonadota; Alphaproteobacteria. The record is from RNAcentral.
GGGAGGCAGCAGUGGGGAAUAUUGGACAAUGGGGGCAACCCUGAUCCAGCCAUGCCGCGUGAGUGAUGACGGCCUUAGGGUUGUAAAGCUCUUUUCUCCGGGACGAUAAUGACGGUACCGGAGGAAUAAGCCCCGGCUAACUUCGUGCCAGCAGCCGCGGUAAU